RNAcentral lists this ribosomal RNA (245 nucleotides) under uncultured Actinomycetes bacterium. RNAcentral's name for it is "uncultured actinobacterium partial 16S ribosomal RNA". It matches the Rfam family "Bacterial small subunit ribosomal RNA", at positions 28 to 249 of the family's 1533-position model. Lineage: Bacteria; Bacillati; Actinomycetota; Actinomycetes. The record is from RNAcentral.
GACGAACGCUGGCGGCGUGCUUAACACAUGCAAGUCGUACGACAGCAUUCCUUUUGGGGGUGUUUGGAGUGGCGAACGGGUGAGUAACACGUGAGUAACCUGCCCUCUUCUUUGGGAUAACGUGCGGAAACGUGCGCUAAUACUGAAUAUUCUUAUUCUGCUGCAUGGUGGGGUGGGGAAAGGACUGUGGGGUCUUUAGGGGCUUUGUGGUUUGGUGGGGAUGGGCUCGCGGCCUAUCAGCUUGU